This 274-nucleotide ribosomal RNA is filed under the name uncultured bacterium. RNAcentral describes it as "partial 16S ribosomal RNA". It matches the Rfam family "Bacterial small subunit ribosomal RNA", at positions 523 to 796 of the family's 1533-position model. The record is from RNAcentral.
AUACGAAGGGGGCUAGCGUUGUUCGGAAUUACUGGGCGUAAAGCGCGUGUAGGCGGAUCGUUAAGUCAGGGGUGAAAGCCCGGGGCUCAACCCCGGAACUGCCCUUGAUACUGGCGAUCUAGAGUCCGGAAGAGGUGGGCGGAAUUCCCGGUGUAGAGGUGAAAUUCGUAGAUAUCGGGAGGAACACCAGUGGCGAAGGCGGCUCACUGGUCCGGUACUGACGCUGAGACGCGAAAGCGUGGGGAGCAAACAGGAUUAGAUACCCCAGUAGUCC